CCUACGGGCGGCUGCAGUGGGGAAUAUUGCACAAUGGGGGAAACCCUGAUGCAGCGACGCCGCGUGAGUGAAGAAGUAUUUCGGUACGUAAAGCUCUAUCAGCAGGGAAGAAAAUGACGGUACCUGAUUAAGAAGCCCCGGCUAACUACGUGCCAGCAGCCGCGGUAAUACGUAGGGGGCAAGCGUUAUCCGGAUUUACUGGGUGUAAAGGGAGCGUAGACGGCAGCACAAGUCUGGAGUGAAAUGCCAGGGCUUAACCCCGGAACUGCUUUGGAAACUGUGCAGCUAGAGUGCAGGAGAGGUAAGUGGAAUUCCUAGUGUAGCGGUGAAAUGCGUAGAUAUUAGGAGGAACACCAGUGGCGAAGGCGGCUUACUGGACUGUAACUGACGUUGAGGCUCGAAAGCGUGGGGAGCAAACAGGAUUAGAUACCCCGGUAGUC
This 440-nucleotide ribosomal RNA is filed under the name uncultured bacterium. RNAcentral describes it as "partial 16S ribosomal RNA". It matches the Rfam family "Bacterial small subunit ribosomal RNA", at positions 338 to 795 of the family's 1533-position model. The record is from RNAcentral.